AAAAAAGCAAGUUCAGAGAGACCGAGAGAGAAUCCAUAAGAGCUAAUAGCGAACGAGGGAGAGCCAUCCAGAAAGCUGGAAGGGAAAAAGCAAAACAGGCGGUGAUUCCUCCAGGGGGAAGUUAGACAAUCCUCACUUGACAAUUUCUUAGGCGUCAUCAAUAAUGUCGUUGUCAGGUUCCUUCGCUCGUCCUCACAUCUGUUUAGCUACACCUCUUUAUUAUUUUCAUUACUGAUUUUGAUUGUUUUAGUUGUUGAAUGCGAUUACCGUUGUUACUUUUCAGUUUUCGUUUCUUUUUUGGUGGGAUUUUCAUUUUGUUUACGGGGUUAUUCUUGUUCUCUUGUUGUUUUGAUUUUGGUGGGCGCUUAUCGAUUUUGAGAGAUCUGCAGGUUUCUUUUUGGGUUUUGGUUGUUCGUUCAUAUAUUGCUGAAUCCCCCCCUCUUAAUUUUGAUUUUGAUAUAAUGGUGUAUGGAUAUUUACAAAUUUCAAUCAUGGUGAAGGAGAAAUGGAUGAGGAAAAAUGGAUGAGGAAACAGAGCAGUAGAGAGAGAGAACAGAGGGAGAGAGAAGAUAAGGAGAAAUGAAUUAUAUAAAAUUAUUUUUAAUUAAUUAAAUUUUUUUAACAAAUAUUAAAUUAGAAAGAGUGCGGUAAUAAAAAAAUUCGAGCUUAUAGCUUGUACGAGGAUCAAUUAAAGGUUUAACAACCAGUAGAUUAAAGAUUGUGCGUUUAUUGUAUCCAUUUUAAUUAAUUUUGUAUAAAUUUUUAUAUAAUAUUAAGUUCGUUUUUUAUAUGACGACUUGUAUUAGAUGCACUAAUUCGUUUGUCGCUAUAAAAUUAUGAAGAUUUAUUAUAUUAAAAUUUAAAAAUUUGCUCUCUGAUAUUGUUCUUUCAACUUAAGCUAAGUUCUUCUUUCCAGUUCCAAUCCACUGCUGACUUGCUUAACAGGCACUGCACUGAGGCAUAUUCCCUUCCUAGGAAAUGAAUAGUAGGCUCUUCAAGGGACUGCAUUCCUGUUUGAACCAAACCAUUUUUUUCUCAUAUGAAAGAAGCUUAACCCUAGGUUCACAUACCUGUAAGUUUAUUUGUGAAUGAAGUAUUUUUGAGAUUUAAUAAUAA
This 1116-nucleotide unclassified non-coding RNA is filed under the name Hevea brasiliensis (rubber tree). The record is from RNAcentral. Lineage: Eukaryota; Viridiplantae; Streptophyta; Magnoliopsida; Malpighiales; Euphorbiaceae.